RNAcentral lists this long non-coding RNA (313 nucleotides) under Brassica napus (rape). RNAcentral's name for it is "long non-coding RNA (BNAP_LNC025805)". Lineage: Eukaryota; Viridiplantae; Streptophyta; Magnoliopsida; Brassicales; Brassicaceae. The record is from RNAcentral.
CUAAAGAUUAAAAUGUUAUUCAUAGAGAGAAAACUUCUUUACCAUGUGGAAUCCUCGAGUAUUGCCAAUCAAAAGCUGCGGAAGAACAGGCCUGUCCGACAAAACCCCUAGCGGAAGAACAAGACCGUAGGACGAAACCCGAAGAAGAAGAACAAAUCUCUGAUUCGUUGAUUCGUGUAUGAGAACGAAGAGGAGGAAGAGUAAAACGAGAUUAGAGACGAAAAAUGGAUGAAAACUGACGAAGGAACAAGGAUUUUGCAUAACCCCAAAUUGCCAUUGACAUGGGUUGAGAAGCUACGGUGGAGAAGACGUG